CGGGGUGAGUAAUGCUUGGGAAUCUAGCUUAUGAGGGGGAGUAACUACGGGAAACUGUAGCUAAUACCGCGUAAUAUCGAAAGAUUAAAGUGUGGGACCUUCGGGCCACAUGCCAUAGGAUGAGCCCAAGUGGGAUUAGGUAGUUGGUGAGGUAAAGGCUCACCAAGCCGACGAUCUCUAGCUGGUCUGAGAGGAUGACCAGCCACACUGGGACUGAGACACGGCCCAG
This 229-nucleotide ribosomal RNA is filed under the name uncultured bacterium. RNAcentral's name for it is "partial 16S ribosomal RNA". It matches the Rfam family "Bacterial small subunit ribosomal RNA", at positions 104 to 334 of the family's 1533-position model. The record is from RNAcentral.